AACUAUAGAGCUCUGAAUUCCUCAUUGCACUAUGAGGAUACGUAGGCAUGAGGGCCCUAAUCCUCACCGAGCACUUUAUCUAUUUCUCUUCCUUUCCCUUAUUCUUUUGCGAGUAAUCUUUAGUUAACACCUAUUCGAGCGAGAACAAUUCAAACGGUUCCCAUGGAGUACCAUGGAUGUUUGGGGUGCUAAUACCUUCCCCUUGCAUAACCG
Molecule: long non-coding RNA, 213 nt
Filed under: Lathyrus oleraceus (garden pea)
Lineage: Eukaryota; Viridiplantae; Streptophyta; Magnoliopsida; Fabales; Fabaceae
Description: Pisum sativum (pea) long non-coding RNA (PSAT_LNC010223)
Source: RNAcentral